AUCCAGAUAACGUCGUUCAAAGUUGGGAUCCCACGCUUGUUAAGCCCUGCACUUGGUUCCACAUCACUUGCAAUCAAGACAGUCCAUUUUUGGUAAGGGAUUUAGGUAAUUCAAAUCUGUCUGGACAUCUAGUUCAGGCGGUAAUAUGGCUCACCAUGUUGCGGUUAGGGCAGCCGAAGCUGUAGCAGAAACUGAACCCAAGAUUGAAGUACUGGAGAAUAUUCUACUCCGCCCAAUGUUUGGCGGAGAAAAGAGAACUGAAUCAGAGAAUAGAUUGGAUGGCAAAUACACAUUAACAAGAACUCGUUUCAUUAGUUUUUAUAAGAAUCUCAUUAUUUAUUUUCCGGCUGCUGAUGUUCUGAUGCUCUUGGUGCUGCUUUGGAGUGGUGUUGGGUGCUGCUGGGUUUUUUUUUGUGUUGGCUGCUGGGUUCUUUGCUUAUCCUUUGUGUAGUUGCUGCUGGUGUUUUUUUCCUGGUUUUAUUUGCUUUGUUUUGCUCUGUUUUGGCUCCCCUUGCUUUGAUCUGCUUUGGGUUGAGUUACUUGUAAAGGGUUGAGUCUGGUACAAAUGAGGAUGGCAGUACUUGGUACAGAGAAAGUGGGAAGGACUUGGGCGAGACUGGAUUUCACAACAGAACAGUGUUCAGUCUUUGCGAUUGAAAUCAGUGGAUGACAAUAAUAAACCUUCACACCUCCAUUUUCCAUCCAUGUUGAGUCACACAAUGCUGUUAAACUUGUAUUUGGUCAGAAUGAUCAAUCGACUUGACAUAGAAAAACUUUGCCAAAAUCUCAGAGUCCUUAUAUUGUCAGGGUCUCAUGUAUCAGAAUACCCAAU
Molecule: long non-coding RNA, 832 nt
Organism: Pistacia vera
Lineage: Eukaryota; Viridiplantae; Streptophyta; Magnoliopsida; Sapindales; Anacardiaceae
Exons: 3
Source: RefSeq, a predicted model, not a curated record